AUCACUUUUGUUUAUGUCAUAGAUGACAUCUUUGAUCUUUACGGCACUGUUGAAGAGUUAACUCUCUUCUCUCAAGCUGUCAAUAGGUACUCCAGAUUACUUAAGAGCUUUUAAUUUGUCUCUUCAAGAAGAAAAUGAUAAAAUGGUUCCUAUUUGUAUGUUUAGGACAGUAGGGAAAAAUGAUAAAAUGGUCCCUAGUUAUGUUUUUGAUAGGUACAAAAAAGAUCUUUUCAAUUUACUGAAUGUAAUCUUUUCAAUUUACUGAAUGUAAAAUGCUUUUCAAAUAUUUAAUAAUUUUGACUGUUAGAUAUCA
Capsicum annuum is the source of this 313-nucleotide long non-coding RNA. RefSeq lists it as uncharacterized. The record is from RefSeq and is a predicted model, not a curated record. The transcript has 2 exons. Lineage: Eukaryota; Viridiplantae; Streptophyta; Magnoliopsida; Solanales; Solanaceae.